Molecule: non-coding RNA, 4629 nt
Organism: Meleagris gallopavo (turkey)
Lineage: Eukaryota; Metazoa; Chordata; Aves; Galliformes; Phasianidae
Source: RefSeq, a predicted model, not a curated record
AGCAGGAGAAGCGUUGAUACUUUCGGAAGUUUUCCAUCACAACGUUCACCAUUGACAUGGAUUCCUCGUAGUUCUUGCCGCACUUGGAAUCAUCCAGGCAGCACCCGAAGCGUGAGAACCGCACACCUCUGAGCCCUGGCACCACCAUAACAUGGACAUGGUAGUACACGUGGAAGAGGUUCCUCUUCUACUGUCUGCAAAAUGGCAGGGUUCCAUCUUAGCCCAGUGCCUGCUUGCCUGAAUUCCACUUGUCUGUGGCCAGAGCAGAAGAACAGCCAGCAUGGACUAAGCAGAAAAGCAAUAAGUUAACUUAUAAAAGAAAUGCAUUCACAUUAGUGGAAGACAGUUACCACUUAGGGAACAUUUAAUGCCCUGCCAGCAGCAACACUAAAUCGUGAAGCAGCAACAGCGAUAUCAAACGGUGUAUUUCUGCCUCGUGACCAGACCUUGCUGUACUGUCAGCUAAUGAGCACGGUGUGGGACAGAAUGACAUAAAUAACUGUUCUUGUUGGAGUAUCCCAGGAGCUCCGGCUGUACUCAGUGACUAAUCCAGCCAGCAAACGACCUUGAAUUUGGGGUUCCUCAUUACAGCAAGGGAAAACUGGACAAUGGGGAGCUGGUGUUAAUGUACUAAUGAGUUCAGGAAGACUGAUUGCUAAUGAUGCUGCAUUAAUGAUUUCACCUCUAUUUCUGGCCUUUCUCCUAAAUCUCCCUUGAGCUGAGGGCUGAGCAUCCCACUUGGUUUUUGAGUUAAAGAAGGAUCAUGCCUGGGACUGAUCUCACUGCACUCCACUGGCACAAACGUGGCUAAGAUGCUCCGUGUCCCAAGGAGAAACAUGAGACUGAUACGACUGAAGCUAUCACAUGUGGUGUAACUUAGCUACGUGCAGAAUACAGGGUCUUAUGGUUUUGUUUUCAAAGACAAACUUCUUUAAACUUCAGGUCAUCCCUUAUAAUUAUUAAAUCCCUCUGCCCAGUAUUACACAUUAGUCAAAGGGAUGUUCAGAAAAUUUGAGUCAUACUUCUUUACUACAUGAUGACAUCCAGUACAUACUCACUUCAAAAUUAAAUAUUCCAAGGUAACCUUUAAAUCAUCCAGAUUUGCAUGUCAUGAUCUUUUUUUCUCCAGUACUGAUUUUAUUUUUUGUGGAAAAAACUUCAAGCCUUAUUAUUCAAUUAUUCCUUUAAGCCCUCAGUUUCUUUCCCACCUGGCUCCAAGAGCUACCUGCCUCUUAUGAGUCUAGGUAUCCACACAGCACAGAUGCAGACUUUAUAGUCUAUUCUUCUCCUGUUCUUUUUUACUUCUCUUCCCUCUUUUUCCCCAAAGCCACUUCCUGUCCAUUUCUAUCUCCAUGAUAACUUGUUUCUCUCAUCCCAGGUGCAGUGAAUUCUGACUUAGCUGAUCAAAAUGACCACUUUUUGAAGAAAUUCUUGCAUACACAGAUCAGCUACAAGAGAGGGAGCUGCUGCUUGUUACUCCAUAUAAGAGAGUCGCAUCCUUUCUUCUUCAUCUGACCUUUUGGGCCACCUCCAAGAGCCCUGAGAAUGUGGCUCAGCUCCCUCAUUCACCCAAGGGCUGUGCCAGUUCCCCUGCUCUACCUGGCGGAGGCCACCUUCAGCUGGCAGUGUGAAAAACCAGCCCCACUACUCCCAAGUUUUGGUGCUUCUGGGUUUGUAAUCUAAGCACAAGGCAGUGCCUCUCUUUGCACAUCGCAGUUGCUGGGGAUAAUUGUCCCCUUUGCCUGUCAGGACUCUGUAGACAUUUUUAGCUUUCUGUGCUUUGUCAGUUGUAAAUUAAUUUGAAUCUACGUAGAAAGUGACACGUUGGACAAGUACUGUGUCAUCUCUGCUGUUCCUAGGGUUCAGAGAUCACCUGUAACAUGGGCUGGCUUUGGGAGGGUGUGCAGCAAGGUCAAGUGCUGGGUCACAAACCCCAUGUUGGAGAGCAGAGGUAGUGGCAGAUCCCAUCAGCAGGGACGUCCCCUCCAGCUCCGUGCAGCUAUGCCUCAGUGUCACACUUUCCAGAAAAAAAUCUGGUCUGAGAAUUGCAUGGUUUUUAAACAUCCCUGAAGAGAUUUUUCAUUUGAGGAAGGCAGCACUAAAACCUGUUAAAACCCUCCCUGUGUGGGAACACAAAGAGGAAGUGACAGGGAGGACACCAGCUGCCACAAAGGAGGAGUGGGCUGGAGAGUGCUGUGGUUGGGAAGAGGGGUGAAGGCAGGGAGAUACGAAUAACCAUGAGGCAGCACCCCAAGGAAAAGCAGAAACAGCCGGAGCAGAUAGGGCAAGAGUGGCUUUUCUCCCACCUAAAUCCUUGAGUGGCUCAAUCAUUUUUAUCUCCUUUGAGUCCGACCCUGUGCCAUCGAGAGCACCACUCAGAACAAAGCCAAGGCAGAGGCAAUGCUGAAAGGACGGCCCAGUGGGAGCUGAAUGCUCUGUCACUAUUUUUGAGUCCACAUUUGGAUUAGCUGUAAAGAGCUGUGUGGAUAAGCAAGCAGGCAAUUACAGCUGGGACGUGCUGCUCAUGAAUGGAAAUGGCUCCAAUCUGCUCGGGACAUAUUGAAAUUCUAAUUCAGUUAGAUUCCUUUAGUUACAGCGUGCAUCACAAGCACUAAAAGCGAUCGGAUUAAAAAAUAAAUACAAGUCGUAUGCUGUCCCUGGUCUGCCUUCACUGUUCUCCUUUCUCCCCCUUCCCUCCCCUAUGUUAGCUGUUGUUUGACUUUAUUUUCUGUGGCAAAAUAGAGUGGUCUGCAUUGAAUAGCUUGUUAAUUUUUAUGAGAGUCUGGCAGUCUGCAGCUGGCUGAACGUGCUCAUCGCUAACGGGUAGACAAAUCCAGAGAAUAACUGGGGUUUCACAUGUCAUGUCUUGCUAAAGGCCAUUACACAGCGGUGUUUGCAUUACUGCAAAAGUGCAGGUGUAAAACUGAGGUACAGAACUAAGGAAUGGCCUUGAUGGGGAAAGGCAGAUUUAAUAAUUCCGGGAUACAGACAGAACUGAGGCAUGGAGCUGUGAAAUAAGCAUCUCUAUGGCAAAGCCAAACACCCAGUUCUGAUCUCACAAGCAUCCUUCCUAAUUUUCUUAGUACAAAAGGGUAAAUUUUGCAGGAUAAAUACUCUGUUAUUUCUCAUCUUUUCAGAACACAUACCUCACUACCCAUAGCCAUUUGUUACUUGAAUACAAUCAGCUGUUGCAAUCAGCUUCACCAAAUACAAUUUUGCGUGCAAACACCGUAGAAGAAUACUGGAAAUAAUUUUUCAUGCAUUAAUUUCAUAUAAUUUCCACUUUGUGUCUUUAUUUUUUUUAAAUGCAAUUCUAUAGAGGAAACUGUCUAUUGGCUUUGGAGCCUAAGUCAUGGGCAAUACGGCUUCAUCACCAUAGACUGCUGAACUUCUUUUUUGUUUGCUUUGCCCACUGGUAGGGGUCUCCAGGUCCCUUGAUACAGACAGAAACUUCCUGUCUAAGCGGAAAAAACACUGCAAAAUCCUAAUUUUUACAGGAAAGGUGCAUGACCCAGAGAACAAUUUCCAGAAUAAGAAGAGGGAAGGAUUUCUGAUGGAUUCAUUUUCACAAACCAAAUCCAGCCUGGGGAAAAAGACUGAGAGAAAGUUAGAAAUGAAAUGGGGUACAAUAAGGCGGAAGAUUAGAAAGACAGGGAACAUAACAUAUAAGGUAAGAACAAAGUGCUCACAAAAGAGAGAGUAGAAAUGUCUACAUAUUCCACAAAAGUAGUCACAAAAUCUACUGAAGUAAUGGAAUGAAGUGGACAGGAAAUCUGGUGGAGUGAAGUGAGUCAAAUGACUACUGAGAUGAGGCUGAUGAGCUGUGUUUGGUACCAUGCUUGCGGUCUAUUGGGUAAAAAUCACCGUAAGAACCAAAUUGCCUGCUUUGUGGGUGAGUUCAGAGCAUGAUAUGCUGAAUGGUACAGCAGACAUAGCCUCCUUAAAACACCAAUAGAUUGAGAGCUUAUGAAUCUCUGUAUAGAUGUGUUCUUGUAAUAUACUUUUUAGCAUAAAACCAAUUUUUCUUGAGAAAAAAAGAUGAUGACAAAGAACAAAAGCAAAGUCUCUGUAAGAGGGAACAAUGUGCCUAUGCCCUCUAUGCAGUUUUGAAACAACAAAGAGAACAAAAUCUCUGCAGUCCUCCGAGGCCAGCAAUGCUCUGAACAGUGAAAGGGCCAUGUCCCCAAAACAAAAGCCCGAUGUAUUUUGGUCUAGAAGUGAAAACAAUGGCAAGAACAGGCACAGAUGCUUCCAUUCCUCAUAUGGCAAUAAUCUAUAUUAAUUACAGCAAGUGUCCAGCUUCGAGCAAUGUCACUGCAGUGCUAUUAAUGUUGGAGACUAUUGAGUUUCUAAGGAAGUGAAUGUCUUUUUCUCUCCCUAAUCAUGAUUACUUGGUUUAGUACUUGAGCUAAGCUUUUAUUUAACCAAGAUAAAUGGGUAUUUCCAAAACCAGGCUGUUAACAAUAUACAUCACAUUAUUACUCUUCUCUAAAAUUUCUUGCCUUGUUUGCUAUUUUACAUAGCUGCUAGACACAAAUAACAAUAAGGAGGAGCUGUGCAGAACUCCUUAAGGAUUAAAGAUUAAAAAAAAUUAAUAAAUCUGAUUUUGACUCAUUACUUCCAUCUAUA